This is a long non-coding RNA of Antechinus flavipes (yellow-footed antechinus), 7274 nucleotides long. RefSeq lists it as uncharacterized. The transcript has 2 exons. The record is from RefSeq and is a predicted model, not a curated record. Lineage: Eukaryota; Metazoa; Chordata; Mammalia; Dasyuromorphia; Dasyuridae.
UCUCUUCUCCUCUACAUCUUUCCCUCCGUUUCUCUCUGGGUGUGUCAACUUGACUUGGUCGGAUCCUAAUAUCCAAAAAUGAGUCUCUGCUAAUGGGGUAUUGGCAAGGGAAGGAGCUACCCAUUAACUUCAGGGAAUGAUUGUUGGAGCAUGGUUGCCAUGGUAAUCUUAUUUUGAUUAGAUGGAGAUAGACAAGGUCUCCAUGUUGAGGGUGGGAGGCAGAGAGGAGCUAAUUUCCCCACUAUCCUGUAGUGUUUCCAAUCUAGUAGAGGAACACUAAUAAUGAUGACACAAUUUACAGGGAACUUUUAAGUUUUGCAAGGCAUUUUGCAAAUAUUAUCUCAUUUAUCCUCCCAACAACUUGGGGUGGGAGGGGGGAUCAGCUCUCAUUUUCAAAAUAAGGAAACUGAGGCAAACAGAGUUAAGCGACUUGCUGCUAGGAAGUGUCUGAAGCUGGAUUUGAAAUCAGGACUUCCUGACUCCAAGCCCAACACUCUGUCCACCAUGUCACCUGAGACCUUGAUUGUUAGAGGGCCCGUAAAGGAACUGUAGCUUGAGGCCUUCCUCAGAAUGAGCAGGGCACGUUGGGUCUCAACCUUCUCUGUCCCCUUCCCAGUUCCUAGCCCACAUUAAGGGCUUAAUAAAUGAUGUCCCCCAAAUGAAGAAUGAAUAAACAGGCCAGACCCCAGGAGCAUCCCAUGGAGACCUCUUUUGGAUAGGGAUCUCAUACUGGCUGCGAUUCUUUGAGUCCCAUCAUUCAGCCAGUCCCUGCCUCCCUAAGCCUGUUACCAGCUGGUCCGCAUCUCUCCAUCUCAUCCGAAGUGACUUCUUGAGACUCUUGGCCAAAUGUCUGGCUGAAAUCAGUAGCCACUACCUUCCCCUUAUCUGGUAGGCCGGACCAAAAAAAAAAAAAAAAAAAAAAAAACCAAGGCAGAGAGGAUUCUGACCUGGCUCAUUCUUUUUUUUUUUUUUCUCUUCCACUUAAUAAUAUUUUACUUUUUUCCAAUUCCAUUCAUUUUUAUUCCAACAUUCACUUUCUUUUUUUAUUAUUAUAGCUUUUUAUUUACAAGUUACACGCAUGGGUAAUUUUUCAGCAUUGACAAUUGCAAAUCCUUUUGUUCCAACUUUUCCCCUCCUUCUCCCCACCCCUCCCCCAGAUGGCAGGUAGUCCCAUACAUGUUAAAUAUGUUAAAGUAUAAGUUAAAUACAAUAUAAGUCUACAUGUCCAAACCGUUAUUUUGCUGUACAAAAAGAAUCGGACUUUGAAAUAGUGCACAGUUAGCCUGUGAAGGAAAUCAAAAAUGCAGGCGGACAAAAAUAGGAUUGGGAAUUCUAUGUAGUGGUUCCUAGUCAUCUCCCAGAGUUCUUUCGCUGGGCGUAGCUGGUUCAGUUCAUUCCUGCUCUAUUGGAACUGAUUUGGUAUCUCAUUGAGGAAGAGGGCCACGUCCAUCAGAAUUGAUCAUCCUAUGGUAUUCCAACAUUCAGUUUCAUAAGAUUUUGAGUUCCAGAUUUUUUCUCCCUCCUUCAUCCCAGUCCAAGACGGCAAGCAAACUGAUCCAGGUUAUAUGUGGGUAAUCAUAUUAGACGUAUCUCCACAUUAGUUAUGUUGUGAAAGAAGAGUCAGAACAAAAGGGGAAAACCUCAAGAACAAAAACCCAAAAAGUGAAAAUAGCAUGCUUCCAGUUGCAUUCAGACUCCCCAGUUCUCUCCGGUUGUGGAUGGCUUUUUCCAUCCGGAGGCUUUUGGAAUUGUCUUAGAUCCCUGCAUGCUGAGAAGAGUUGAGUUGAUCCUAGUUGAUCACUGUACAGUGUUGUUGCCACUGUGUACAAUAUUCUCCUGGUUCUGCUCCCUUCAUUCGGCAUCAGUUCCUGUACAGAAUCAUUUUUUUUUAAAUCGUUUAAAUGACAAGUGUUCUUUAUUGCGACAGCGAGAGAUCAAAUCCUUGGAGCAAAAGUUCUUUUGGCUAAAGUUUUUUUUUUUUUUUAAAUAGUAUUUUAUUUUUCCAAAGACAUAUAAAGACGGUUUUCAACAUGCAACAGUUAGCAACGUUGUGUUCCAAAUUUUUCUCUUUCCUUCCCUUUUUCCCCUCUUCCCCAAGACAGCAAGACAUCUGAUACAGGUUAUAUAUGUAGAAUCCUUUUAAACUUAUUUCCAUAUAUGUCAUGUUAUACAAGAAAAAUCAUGUUAUACCCAAAAAAAAAAAAAAGGAAAGAAAACCAAAAAAGCCCCCAAAAAGUAAAAAUACUAUGCUUUGAUCCACAUUUAGUUUCCGUAGUUCUCUCUCUCACUUCCUAGCUGUGACCCUAGGCAAGUCACUUAACCCCAAUUGCCUCAGCAAAUUUGUCAGCAAAAAAAAAAGUGUUAAGUGUCUGAGGCCAGUCUUGAAUCCAUGUCCUCCCGACUUCAGGGCUAAUGCGCUCUCCACUGUGCCAUCUAGCUGUCCUUCAUAUAUAUGUCCUUUAAAAAUGCUUGUUGACUGAAUGAUUCUGCCCCAGGGCCUGUUUAUUCUUUCAUCAUCUUCUUCCCAACAUAGCUUUUUUUUUUUUUUUCAGACAAAUGAAAGGUCCAAGAGACAGAGUUUCUGGGUAAUUAAUAAUCAAUUUAUUAAUUAGGCUAACUGAUAACAAAUGGAUGGUGAGGGUUUUCCUCAGUAACCAAAGACAAAACCAUAGUGAUCACUGAAUGCGUAAGUACCUUUGGAAAAAGAGAGUGCCCCUUUCAAGUAGAAAUCAGUCUCAGCCAGUUGAUGAUUAAUGAUGGGAUGGGCAGGUUAGUGAGGAGAUGGACAGGUUAGUGAGGAGGUGGGCAGGUUAGUGAGGAGGUGGACAGGUUAGUGAGGAGGUGGGCAGGUCAAUGAGGAGGUGGGCAGGUUAGUGAGGAGGUGGGCUAAGAGGCUUCAGCUCCUUCUUCUGAGAAUACGACUCGAUCCAGAGCCUCAGCUGCCUCCCUCUCUCCGGACACAGGAGUCCAUCUCUACCCAAAUCACUGCUGAUUUUCUCCAUAACCUGAGUUCCUCCCAUUGCAGGGGAGCAGUACAAGGGCAUGGCCUCAGAGCUUUAGAGCUGAAGGCUGCUAAAGGUUAGAUUCUAUUUAGACUGCAAAUGAAAGGCAGCUCCCCUAAUUGGGGGGGGCUCUGCCCAAGAUCAGGAGCUUGUAGCCUGAGAAUUAGGCCAGUCUCAGAGAACUGACUGACUGAUCCUCAGGGAUUGCUACAUCAUUGAGGAAAUAAAAAGGGGAAACCUCAAUCCUAAUUUAAUAAUUAGUUAUUAAUAGAAUGCAAAAGUAAUCACUUCUCUCAAGUCCUUUUUUAUUUUCUUAGGUUUUUUUAUUCCCAGCUUCCCCUCGUUCUGUACUUAGGCUUCCUGAGGCUAAUCCCAUAGAGCUCUGCUGCUCUUUGGUACAAGACCUAUGAGAAAUCAGUGAAAAUUUCCCCCAUAUUUUUCAUAAAAUCUUUAUUAAAGUAAUGAAUGAGUAAAAAAGCAUGCAUAUUAAGCACUGACUAUGUACCAGGCGUGUUAAAUGCUGGUGAUAUGUAAAUAACACAGUCCUUGCCUUUCAGAAAAUUUCCACUCAAAUGUGGAAGGUCAACAGACGGGGACACGGUAGCUGGGACGGAGAGCAGAGAGAGGGCUAGAGGGUUUUAGAGAAUUCUCACCAAGAGGAGGAGGGAGGGGAGGAAGGGAAGGAGAAGGGAGAACGGGAGAAGAAAUAAAGAGGAGAAGCAGGGAGAGGAAAAAGGGGAGGAGGAGGAAGGGAAGAGAAUGAGGAAGAGAAGAGAAGGAAGAAAAGGGAGGGAGGAGGAGGAGAAGGAAGAAAAGAGAAGGAAAAGCUGGAGGAGGAGGAGGAAGAGGAAGAAGAAGGGAGAUGAUGAGGAAGAGGAGGGGAGGAGGAAGAAAAGGAAGGGAGGAGGAGGAGAAGGAAGAAAAGAGAAGGAGAAGCUGGGGGAGGAGGAAGGGGAAGAAGAAGGGAGAUGAUGAGGAAGAGGAGGGGAGGAGGAAGAAGAGGAAAAGAAAGAAAAAGAGGGAAAUGAGGAAGAGGAAUAAGAAAAGAAAGAGACAGAGAAGCAAGGGGAGGAAGGAAAGGGGAAGGAGAAGGGAGAGGAUGCAGAAGAGGAGGGGGAAGGAGAGGGAAGAAUGGGGAGAAGAAAGAAGGAGGAGGAAGAAAGAGGGGGACAGCUAUGUACUAGCCAGAAGAUGUCUGUGCUCUGUUCUUGGUGCUGAACUGUCCCUCCCUUGUACUGGGGUUACCCAUCCUCCCUUCCAUCUCAUGUUCCUUUCAAUUCCGUUUCUUGGCUAAGUCCCUGUUCAGCCACAUUUCCUCUCCUUAUUCCCCUGUGGACGCAAUGGUGAUUGUGUCACCAGAAUUUAUUUCAUUAUCAAGUCUCCCAUCCUUUUUCAGCCAGUUUCCCUUUUAGCAAAUCAGUCCUGAAGGUAUCCUAGGCUAUUCUAUUCCAUCUCUGCCCCCUUUAAGAUUCAUUCUUCCAGGGGCAGCUGGGUAACACAGGGGCUACAUCAUGGCCACUGGAGUCAGGAGGACCCGAGUUCAAAUGUGACACUUACUAGCUGUAUGACUCUGGGCAAGGAACUCUGAUUGCCUCACAAAAUAAAUAAAUAAAACCAAGUCACUUUUCCAAAGUACAGUUCUGCCCCAGCCAGUGUUCUCCUCGUCUAUAUCAAACCCUUAAGGAUAAGCAGCCAACAAAAGUUUUUAAAAAAUCAUAUUGAGAUUGUGUUGAAUCAAACUGAGGAGACUGUGGUCCACUAGAGCCCCCAGAUCUCUUUUCAGCUCCUUCUCCAUUUUGUACUUCUGGAUUGACUUUUUGUGCCAAAGAGUGAGAUUAUUACUUUUAUCCCUAAUAAACUUAAUCUUAUUAUGUUGAGCCCAGUGCUCUAAUCUGCCAAAAUCUGUUUGGAUCUCGACUCCAUCCUCCAGCAUGUUAAAGGACCCCUACACAGGUUUUUCAUUUGAUGAGGUCUUCCAAAAGUGAUGUCAUUUUUGUUUCCACCUAACCACUUAGAAUCCAGUCUAGAACAGCAGUCUCCCCCCACUUUUUUUCUAUGCCUUGCCUCCUCACCAAUCUUCUGAAAUAGGACAUUAGGAGAACUACUAAUUAGUAACAGCUUAGCACCCAUUCGGGGAGCCAAGCGAUCAGUAACUGAGAAAGCAGCUAACAGGAAUAAUAAACCAGAGCCUUAAGAACCCGGAUGAUGAGCAGCUUCCUAAGAGGCUUUGCUCGGAUCUUUUUCACUGACUGCAAUCGUGUAGAUAAAUGAAUAUAAUGGUUUUCCUAGGAGUUGAGUGGAGAGCCAAGUUUUAGUAGUUUAGCGGUGAUUGAUAAUAGUUGAAUUAGUGACAAAGGAUUCAAUUUGCCCUGGUGAGACACGUUGAUUAGCGUGUUCAAUUCUGGCUGCUACGUGUUAGGAAGGACAUUCAUUAUUAAGCGAGACCAGAGGACAGGGGGAAGCCAGGAUAGUGAGGAACUAGAACUCAGGCCAUGGAAGGUUCGGCUGUCGGACCCCAAGAUCGCAGAGUCACAGACCUGAGAGUUGGGAGGGACCUCAGUGGCCAACUGGUUCAACUUCCACACACACACACACAAAAAAUAUUAAACAGAGAGACUCACAUGAACUGAUGCUGAGUGAAAUGAGCAGGACCAGGAGAUCAUUAUAUACUUCAACAACAAUACUAUAUGAUGAUCAAUUCUGAUGGACGUGACCCUCUUCAACAAUGAGAUGAACCAAAUCAGUUCCAGUGGAGCAGUAAUGAACUGAACCAGCUACACCCAGUGAAAGAACUCUGGGAGAUGACUGGGAACCAUUUACAUAGAAUUCCCAAUCCCUCUAUUUUUGUCUGCCUGCAUUUUUGAUUUCCUUCAUAGGCUAAUUGUACACUAUUUCAGAGUCCGAUUCUUUUUGUACAACUGUUUGGACAUGUAUACAUAUGUUGGAUCUAACUUAUACUUUAACAUAUUUAACGUGUAUUGGUCAACCUGCCAUCUGGGGGAGGAGAUGGGGGGAAGGAGGGGAAAAGUUGGAACAGAAGGUUUUGCAAUUGUCAAUGCUGAAAAAUUACCCAUGCAUAUAUCUUAUAAAUAAUAAGCUAUAAUAUAAAAAAAAAAAGAAUAUUAAGCAGCUUAGUAAUAAGCACAGAUCCCUGGGGCACUUCACUGGAGACUUCCUGCCAAGUUGACACCGAAUCAUUAUAGAAGAAAAACUCAGUAGCCCGCUAUUUUGGCACAAGGCUACCAGGAAUGGAUUUAUCAAUUAAACCCCAAGCCUCUCUGCUUAGAAAAAUAAAAACUCAAGGGGACAGAGCACCAUCCUGCUUUUGAAAAUUUCUGAAAUAAUAAACAAAAGAGCUUUAAGAACCCAUAUGACCAGCAGCUUACUAAGAGGCUUUUUUAUUUACAAUUUUUUUUUAAGCAUUCAUAAGAUCUUAGAUUAGAGCUGGGAGGGAUCUUAGAGGCUACUGAGUCUAAUCCCCUCAUUUUACAACUGAAGGAACUGAGAUACAAGGAAUAUGUAACUUGCCCAGGGUCCCAUAGCCAGUUCUCAUCUGUGUGAUCCGGCAAGUCACUUCACCCUCUUUGCCUCAGUUUCCUCACCUACAAAAUGAUCUGGAAAAGGAAAUGGCAAACUGCUCCAGUAUUUCUGCCAGGAAAACCCCAAAUGGGGUCACAGAGAGUCAGACAUGACUGAACAGCAAAAACCAGCUCUUUAGUGAUGUAUUCUAGCAUGUCCCAGGAAUUGAUGUUUGCAGAUUCUACUGUUCCAUUUUUUUUCCAAAUCUGGACAACUCUGGCCAUUCCCCAAUCUUUCUAUUUUUUACGAUCUUGUAUUUAUCACAGAUAGUUCAGUAUUCUCACUUGUCAGUUCUUUCAGGACCUGGGUCAGAGACUUGACUUUAUCAAAGUCAGCUAGAUGCUCUCUUCUUACCUGAGUCUCAACUCUGUUAAUUAUUUUUGUUCUGUGAUUUUCAGUGCAGAAGUCGUUCCUUUUGACAACGACCAAACAAAUGGCAUUAGACUAAAGCCACUUUCUCUCUCUCUCUGUUUUCUGUUGUCACUGUCCCAGUCACUCUAAACUAAGGUCCAAUCCCUCUUUAAUCUUUUCCAGUAGAGCUUUUUUUUCCCCUUUAAAUAAUUUUGUCUGUAGCUUCUUUUGCCAGCUUCUGCCCACUUCUGACACUACUUUUAUGAGACCAUGUCAUAGUCUUAGAUUCACUCUCUAUUCCCUCAUCUUAUUUCCAUCUUUUGUAGGUUUCUUUUUUAAAAA